RNAcentral lists this ribosomal RNA (433 nucleotides) under uncultured bacterium. RNAcentral describes it as "partial 16S ribosomal RNA". It matches the Rfam family "Bacterial small subunit ribosomal RNA", at positions 29 to 507 of the family's 1533-position model. The record is from RNAcentral.
AACGAACGCUAGCGGCAUGCCUAACACAUGCAAGUCGAACGAGACCUUCGGGUCUAGUGGCGCACGGGUGCGUAACGCGUGGGAACCUGCCCUUAGGCUCGGAAUAACUCCCCGAAAGGGGUGCUAAUACCGGAUAAUGUCUUCGGACCAAAGAUUUAUCGCCUUUGGAUGGGCCCGCGUUGGAUUAGCUAGUUGGUAGGGUAAAAGCCUACCAAGGCGACGAUCCAUAGCUGGUCUGAGAGGAUGAUCAGCCACACUGGGACUGAGACACGGCCCAGACUCCUACGGGAGGCAGCAGUGGGGAAUAUUGGACAAUGGGCGAAAGCCUGAUCCAGCAAUGCCGCGUGAGUGAUGAAGGCCUUAGGGUUGUAAAGCUCUUUUACCCGGGAUGAUAAUGACAGUACCGGGAGAAUAAGCUCCGGCUAACUCCGUG